CGUGGGUAACCUGCCCAAGAGAUCGGGAUAACACCUGGAAACAGAUGCUAAUACCGGAUAACAACAGAUGAUGCCUAUCAACUGUUUAAAAGAUGGUUCUGCUAUCACUCUUGGAUGGACCUGCGGUGCAUUAGCUAGUUGGUAGGGUAACGGCCUACCAAGGCGAUGAUGCAUAGCCGAGUUUAGAGACUGAUCGGCCACAUUGGGACUGAGACACGGCCCAAACUCCUACGGGAGGCAGCAGCC
Molecule: ribosomal RNA, 246 nt
Filed under: uncultured Lactobacillus sp.
Lineage: Bacteria; Bacillati; Bacillota; Bacilli; Lactobacillales; Lactobacillaceae
Description: partial 16S ribosomal RNA
Rfam family: Bacterial small subunit ribosomal RNA
Source: RNAcentral